Molecule: small RNA, 843 nt
Filed under: Drosophila mojavensis
Lineage: Eukaryota; Metazoa; Arthropoda; Insecta; Diptera; Drosophilidae
Description: GI25854
Source: RNAcentral
UCAAGAAGGUCGUGUGCGCGCUCGCCUCUUAAAGCGUAUAUCAAACAUAUAUUAAAAAGCAAAAAAAGCUUAGCAAAAGCUCGUUUCGUAUCGUUUGCUCGUUCGGUUCGACGUUUCGUUAGACGCGCGCAAAACCCAAAAAUAAUUAAAGUCAACAACAAGCGGCUAACAAACAAUUUGGAUUAUUUCUGCAAUAGAAAAUUCAAACACAAAAUUCGAUCGAAAGAAAGAGAUAAACAUUGGGCAAUUAAGGAAGUAAUUUGUGGCCAACGCUGUUGUUGCUGUUGGUAGUUGUUGGUGUUGCCGUCUCCUUCUCCAUCUCCCUCUCUCUUUCUCUAUCUCUAUCUCCCUUGUUGCAAGAUCAUCAGCCAGAGCCAGCAGCCGUCAUGAAUGCAGCCACAUGAAACGUCGGCUGUUGAAGCGUCAACAGCAAUUGCCAUAAUUGCCAUUGGAGCAGCAAAACACACACACACACGUACACACACACAUACGUAUAUUGUUGCCAGCAGCGCGGCAGGCAAGCAGGAGUCCAAUAACCGCACCAACUGCUGAAACUCGCCACACGAGAUAUUCGCGGCAGGCACAAAAUCGAAAACCAAUUGCCAGCGGUAGUGGCAGCAGCUCCUUCAACUGAAUUGUAACACAGCGUCAAAAAAAAAAAAAAGCGUGGAGCAUCGGGCGCCGGAAAAUCCCCAAAGCCAAAAAAACACAAUAACAACAACAACAAGAGGCAAAGAAACCAGUGGAGCGGGGAUCAAUGAACGCGGCACGCAGCAGCUGCGAGCAACAACAACAACAACAGCAGCAGCAGCAGAAGAAGAAAAGCGAAACGGGCCAGCAAUU